UGGGGAAUAUUGCACAAUGGGCGAAAGCCUGAUGCAGCAACGCCGCGUGAGGGACGAAGGCCUUCGGGUUGUAAACCUCUUUUAGCAGGGAAGAAGCGAAAGUGACGGUACCUGCAGAAAAAGCACCGGCUAACUACGUG
Molecule: ribosomal RNA, 140 nt
Filed under: uncultured bacterium
Lineage: Bacteria
Description: partial 16S ribosomal RNA
Rfam family: Bacterial small subunit ribosomal RNA
Source: RNAcentral